CAGCAGCCGCGGUAAUACGGAGGGGGCUAGCGUUGUUCGGAUUUACUGGGCGUAAAGGGCGCGUAGGUGGUUAUUUAAGUGAGAUGUGAAAGCCCCGGGCUUAACCUGGGAACUGCAUCUUAUACUGGGUAACUGGAGUGCAGUAGAGGGUAGUGGAAUUUCCGGUGUAGCGGUGAAAUGCGUAGAUAUCGGAAGGAACACCAGUGGCGAAGGCGGCUACCUGGACUGAGACUGACACUGAGGCGCGAGAGCGUGGGGAGCAAACAGGAUUAGAUACCCCCGUAGUCCCUGUCUCUUAUAC
This 301-nucleotide ribosomal RNA is filed under the name uncultured bacterium. RNAcentral's name for it is "partial 16S ribosomal RNA". It matches the Rfam family "Bacterial small subunit ribosomal RNA", at positions 509 to 807 of the family's 1533-position model. The record is from RNAcentral.